AGAGUUUGAUCCUGGCUCAGAACGAACGCUGGCGGCAGGCUUAACACAUGCAAGUCGAACGCCCCGCAAGGGGAGUGGCAGACGGGUGAGUAACACGUGGGAACAUGCCCAAAGGUACGGAAUAUUCCCGGGAAACUGGGAGCAAUACCGUAUGUGCCCGAAAGGGGAAAGAUUUAUCGCCCUUGGAUUGGCCCGCGUUGGAUUAGCUAGUUGGUGGGGUAAAAGCCUACCAAGGCGACGAUCCAUAGCUGGUCCGAGAGGACGACCAGCCACACUGGGACUGAGACACGGCCCAGACUCCUACGGGAGGCAGCAGUGGGGAAUCUUGGACAAUGGGCGCAAGCCUGAUCCAGCCAUGCCGCGUGAGUGAUGAAGGCCCUAGGGUUGUAAAACUCUUUCGUGGGGGACGAUAAUGACGGUACCCCAAGAAGAGCC
Molecule: ribosomal RNA, 435 nt
Filed under: uncultured Parvibaculum sp.
Lineage: Bacteria; Pseudomonadati; Pseudomonadota; Alphaproteobacteria; Hyphomicrobiales; Parvibaculaceae
Description: bacterial SSU rRNA
Rfam family: Bacterial small subunit ribosomal RNA
Source: RNAcentral